GAAAUGCGAUAAGUAAUGUGAAUUGCAGAAUUCAGUGAAUCAUCGAAUCUUUGAACGCACAUUGCUCCCGCCAGCAUUCUGGCGGGCAUGCCUGUCCGAGCGUCAUUUCAACCAUCAAGCCCCCGGGCUUGUGUUGGGGACCUGCGGCUGCCCGCAGGCCCUGAAAACCAGUGGCGGGCUCGCUGUCACACCGAGCGUAGUAGCAAUCACCUCGCUCAGGGCGUGCUGCGGGUUCCGGCCGUUAAACAGCCUUACAAAACCCAAGGUUGACCUCGGAUCAGGUAGGAAGACCCGCUGAACUUAAGC
RNAcentral lists this unclassified non-coding RNA (306 nucleotides) under plant metagenome. Its description in RNAcentral is "partial contains 5.8S ribosomal RNA, internal transcribed spacer 2, and large subunit ribosomal RNA". The stretch from base 1 to 105 matches the Rfam family "5.8S ribosomal RNA", at positions 50 to 154 of the family's 154-position model. The record is from RNAcentral.